ACCAUGUUGAAGAUUGAAGUGAUUCUCAAAUCUGAUUUGAAAAAUGUAGAGAUUUGUUUUUUGUUUUUUUUUUUCCAAUGUAAAGAUGUAGAGAAUUGAUGUUGUUUGGAUUUUAUUUUAAUAUUAUAUUUUCACAAAAAUUCUUGAUUGUGGGGUUAGUAUUGGAAUAUUUAGUUUAAAAUUGAAAUAUGGGGUGAAGAAAGCAUUUGGUAGGGUGGCAAUAGCCGCACCCUUAAUAUAAACACCCUUCUUUGUAUAAAACCCUAAUUAUUUGCAAUAAAGUAAACCUCUUUUUUACAUUAUGCCGUAUAUUUUGCAUUAAUACCUACGUACCCUAAUGUUUUAAUAUUUAUAUUUUUACAUUCCUAAAAACCAUUAUUCAUAUUUACAAACGUUUUUGAAAAUUCAAUAGACAAUCAUUGUCACGUGACAACAAUCUCAAAUUUCUGACGGGUGACCUAGGUCACUAUGUUCAUUCUAACCUAACAGGUGAACUUGCUAUAAGUGCAGGGAUUUCAACAAGCAGUGUUUACAUGAUCGGUAACUGACCAAGAGAUUCAUGGUUUAGGGUUUACGGUUAGGUCACUAUGUUCAUUCUAACCCAACGGGUGAACUUGCUCUAAGUGCAGGGAUUUCAACAAGCAGUGUUUACAUGAUCAGUAACUGAUCAAGAGAUUCAUGGUCAGUCACCAUUGGAUUUACAUCCAAUAGUUGAAAAUAAAUCAACUCUUCUUAAAAUUAAUUCUCCCCACCAUUGGAUUUAAAUCUAACGGUGAUUGACCAUAAAUCUCUUGGUCAGUCACUAAUUAGGCGAACAUGAGUACUGUUGGCACUUCUACGUGAAUCAAUAUCAAUCUUGGUAAGAUUAGAAGCAUUGUCGUCGAUAGAGCAAUAGUGACCGAGUAUAGCAUCGAUCACUGCCAAUUGGGUUUGAGAGUGGUGGUGAUGACCUUAUUCUAGAAGUCGUUGUCGAAAAGUUUAUCUCAAGGUACCUUUCUACAUCUAAUUAGAUUGCAACCAUUUUAUCAUCUCAAAGAGCUUGAGUGAUGACACCUACCAAUUGACCCGAUCUAUGAGCCACUAAUUUCUGAAUCUUUUCCUAAAUUGGCACUAAUUUAUGUCUUGAUUAUAAGAAACUAGCUAAAUAUAUAUGGUAAAUAUAUGGUGGGAUUACUUAGAGAUCAACUAUGGUAAAUAUAUGAUGC
RNAcentral lists this long non-coding RNA (1205 nucleotides) under Fragaria vesca (wild strawberry). RNAcentral describes it as "long non-coding RNA (FVES_LNC005336)". Lineage: Eukaryota; Viridiplantae; Streptophyta; Magnoliopsida; Rosales; Rosaceae. The record is from RNAcentral.